UGGGGAAUAUUGCGCAAUGGGCGAAAGCCUGACGCAGCGACGCCGCGUGAGGGAUGAAGGUUUUCGGAUCGUAAACCUCUGUCAGAAGGGAAGAAACCGCACUGUGCUAAUCAGCAGUGCCUUGACGGUACCUUCAAAGGAAGCACCGGCUAACUCCGUGCCAGCAGCCGCGGUAAUACGGAGGGUGCAAGCGUUAAUCGGAAUUACUGGGCGUAAAGCGCACGUAGGCUGCUUUGUAAGUCAGGGGUGAAAUCCCACGGCUCAACCGUGGAACUGCCUUUGAUACUGCUUAGCUUGAAUCCGGGAGAGGGUGGCGGAAUUCCAGGUGUAGGAGUGAAAUCCGUAGAUAUCUGGAGGAACAUCAGUGGCGAAGGCGGCCACCUGGACCGGUAUUGACGCUGAGGUGCGAAAGCGGGGGGAGCAAACAGGA
This 430-nucleotide ribosomal RNA is filed under the name Fusobacteriota bacterium. RNAcentral describes it as "Fusobacteria bacterium partial 16S ribosomal RNA". It matches the Rfam family "Bacterial small subunit ribosomal RNA", at positions 355 to 777 of the family's 1533-position model. Lineage: Bacteria; Fusobacteriati; Fusobacteriota. The record is from RNAcentral.